GUGAUUAAGUUAUUAAGGGCGCACGGUGGAUGCCUUGGCACUAGAAGCCGAUGAAGGACGUUACUAACGACGAUAUGCUUUGGGUAGCUGUAAGUAAG
This 98-nucleotide ribosomal RNA is filed under the name Staphylococcus simulans. Its description in RNAcentral is "partial 23S ribosomal RNA". It matches the Rfam family "Bacterial large subunit ribosomal RNA", at positions 1 to 96 of the family's 2925-position model. The record is from RNAcentral. Lineage: Bacteria; Bacillati; Bacillota; Bacilli; Caryophanales; Staphylococcaceae.